GAUGAAGAACGCAGCGAAAUGCGAUACGUAAUGUGAAUUGCAGAAUUCAGUGAAUCAUCGAGUCUUUGAACGCACAUUGCGCCCCCUGGUAUUCCGGGUGGCAUGCCUGUCCGAGCGUCAUUGCUGCCCUCAAGCACGGCUUGUGUGUUGGGCCUCCGUCCUCCUCCCGGGGGACGGGCCCGAAAGGCAGCGGCGGCACCGCGUCCGGUCCUCGAGCGUAUGGGGCUUCGUCACCCGCUCUUGUAGGCCCGGCCGGCGCUUGCCGACACAUCAAUCUUUUUUCCAGGUUGACCUCGGAUCAGGUAGGGAUACCCGCUGAACUUAAGCAUAUCAAUAAGCGGAGGA
This 345-nucleotide unclassified non-coding RNA is filed under the name soil metagenome. RNAcentral describes it as "partial contains 5.8S ribosomal RNA, internal transcribed spacer 2, and large subunit ribosomal RNA". The stretch from base 1 to 120 matches the Rfam family "5.8S ribosomal RNA", at positions 35 to 154 of the family's 154-position model. The record is from RNAcentral.